UGGGGAAUCUUGGACAAUGGGGGCAACCCUGAUCCAGCCAUGCCGCGUGAGUGAUGAAGGCCUUAGGGUCGUAAAGCUCUUUCGCCUGUGAAGAUAAUGACGGUAGCAGGUAAAGAAACCCCGGCUAACUCCGUGCCAGCAGCCGCGGUAAUACGGAGGGGGUUAGCGUUGUUCGGAAUUACUGGGCGUAAAGCGCACGUAGGCGGACCAGAAAGUUGGGGGUGAAAUCCCGGGGGCUCAACCCCGGAACUGCCUCCAAAACUAUCGGUCUAGAGUUCGAGAGAGGUGAGUGGAAUUCCGAGUGUAGAGGUGAAAUUCGUAGAUAUUCGGAGGAACACCAGUGGCGAAGGCGGCUCACUGGCUCGAUACUGACGCUGAGGUGCGAAAGUGUGGGGGAGCAAACAGGAUUAGAUACCCUGGUAGUCCACACCGUAAACGAUGAAUGCCAGUCGUCGGAUAGCAUGCUAUUCGGUGACACACCUAACGGAUUAAGCAUUCCGCCUGGGGAGUACGGUCGCAAGAUUAAAACUCAAAUGAAUU
This 540-nucleotide ribosomal RNA is filed under the name uncultured bacterium. RNAcentral describes it as "bacterial SSU rRNA". It matches the Rfam family "Bacterial small subunit ribosomal RNA", at positions 355 to 911 of the family's 1533-position model. The record is from RNAcentral.